This 54-nucleotide transfer RNA is filed under the name Caenorhabditis sp. Its description in RNAcentral is "tRNA-Leu". The record is from RNAcentral. Lineage: Eukaryota; Metazoa; Nematoda; Chromadorea; Rhabditida; Rhabditidae.
GCAUAUUUAGUAUAAAAAUACAUUAGAUUUAGGUUCUAAAGAUAAAGUUAUGCU